This 36-nucleotide ribosomal RNA is filed under the name Eucalyptus tenuipes. RNAcentral's name for it is "partial 18S ribosomal RNA". The record is from RNAcentral. Lineage: Eukaryota; Viridiplantae; Streptophyta; Magnoliopsida; Myrtales; Myrtaceae.
CAUUGCCGAAUCCUGCCCAGCGGAAUGACCAGAGAA